RNAcentral lists this ribosomal RNA (492 nucleotides) under uncultured bacterium. RNAcentral's name for it is "partial 16S ribosomal RNA". It matches the Rfam family "Bacterial small subunit ribosomal RNA", at positions 29 to 507 of the family's 1533-position model. The record is from RNAcentral.
AGUGAACGCUGGCGGUAGGCCUAACACAUGCAAGUCGAACGGCAGCACAGUAAGAGCUCGCUCUUACGGGUGGCGAGUGGCGGACGGGUGAGGAAUACAUCGGAAUCUACUUUUUCGUUGGGGAUAACGUAGGGAAACUUACGCUAAUACCGCAUACGACCUACGGGUGAAAGCAGGGGAUCUUCGUACCUUGCGCGAUUGAAUGAGCCGAUGUCGGAUUAGCUAGUUGGCGGGGUAAAGGCCCACCAAGGCGACGAUCCGUAGCUGGUCUGAGAGGAUGAUCAGCCACACUGGAACUGAGACACGGUCCAGACUACUACGGGAGGCAGCAGUGGGAAAUAUUGGACAAUGGGAGCAAGCCUGAUCCAGCCAUACCGCGUGGGUGAAGAAGGCCUUCGGGUUGUAAAGACCUUUUGUUGGGAAAGAAAAGCAGCAGGUUAAUACCCCGCUGUUCUGACGGUACCCAAAGAAUAAGCACCGGCUAACUUCGUG